UGUGAGUAUCACCCACCACGCCACCAUUCUCCCUCCUUUCCGCACUUACCCAAAGUUUCCCCCGUGUACCUAGAACCAGGAGGCUGCAGGAUGGCUGAGAGCCCUUCCUUUGGUGGCUAAAGGUGGGGCACCAGUGACUAAAGCCCUGAAGUUGACCUCCAGGCGUGCGCCCACGUUCAGCAAAUAUAGCAGCUAGAAUGAGGACGAAACGGUGGUGCGCCAGCACCAUUGCGGAUGACGUGGAUAAGAGUCUCACCCAGGGCUGGUGGGACAGAAAGCCAGAGGAGCCCAGUGAUUGUGUGAAACAAACCUAGAUGGAUAACCUCCAACUUUUACGUGAGAAGAUAAACCACGGACGUUUAAGUCACCGUUAGUUUUGGUCUUCCAUGCAUGCAGUAGGUCCCUGAGAUACAAAUCAUAUUUUUUACUUCCUGGUACCUGAACCCUCAUCCUAUGGUUGAGGAACCCCACCUUAAGAGUCAAAGCCCGCCUCCUACUGUGGAAGCUGAAAAGGCCAGGUACUUGCUCUCUCAGCCCCCGCCCGCUCCCCCUUGAAGCCAGGACUCAGAUGCAUGGCCUGGGUAUGCCUAGCUGAAGCUGGAACAGUGCCAGAUUGUUUGUGGUGGCAGAGGGCACAGUCAGGAGUGCAGGGGCAGCAGUAACGGCAGCACCCACCCAGCACCCAACUCCAGCAGUGCUGCCAAUGGGAACUGCGGUGCAGCCUGGACGGCGGUCCUAAUGGGACACCCUCAUGGAUGCCUACACUCCAGACCUGAUUUUCCCCCCAUCCAGUCAGGACAGGAAAAAGUUUCUAUCAAGACAGACAAGGACCUGCUACGUGGGAUCAAAAACCCGGAUUUAAUGGAAUUAUUUCCCUUAUUUGAUCCACUGCAUAUUAACAUAUUGAAAAUAUCUGUGCUCUAAAGUAGACUGUAUCAUGGAUGCAGUUAUUAAAAUUGUUCAGUAUACAUGUGCAAAUGCUCUGACUCAUCACCAGUUUAUGGAACUGUUAAAAGAAAUAGAAGAUAAUGAAUAUAAUGACUACAUGUUCUUUGCCAAUGUUCACUGCUUGAGUCAUGGAAGAAUUUUACAAAGGUUUACUGUACUGUUAACUCUAAUUCAAGAUUUUCUUGACACAAAAGGAACACCUGCCAAUAUUGAACAAAGAGAAAACAUCACAGCAUGAUUUACAUUUUUUCACCUAUAUCACAGUGCACAUGAAUGAGCUAAAUUUAAAGAUCCAAGGAGAGAGUAAAAGCUUGUUUGUGACCUAGCUAGACAGGUAUGAGAAUUUAUGUUAAAAUUUAAACUAUUCCUAAUGCAAAUCAAUAAUGAUUUUACACAUUUCAACACAAACAAAUAUACAGAAGAUUUUAAAUACAAUAGCAUUAUGUAAGUUGUCUGCAAAAUCUACAAGAAAAAUUGAAGAAUGCUUUGUUGAUAUGGACAAAUUUGGAGUUGAUUUUCAGUUUAUAUAAUGAUCCUUUGAAUUUGAUGUUGAUAAUACUGAGUGGUUACAAGAGUUAGUGGAUUUACUUAAAUUAGAUAGUUUUGAGACUGAUAUGCUUUUGCUUCGGACUCAAUUAUUCUAAAAAAGAUGAGUCAGUCUUGUCAAAACAGAUGCCAAGUAUUAAAGAAAAUGGGUUUUUUUGGUACUUUAUUCAUUUAUUGGAAAAUUUUUAAUAGUGUUUGGAAUCUACAUUUUUAACUGCAAUUUUUAUGACUAAAACAGAUCAAGCAUUUCUGAUGAAAAGUUAGCAUCUGAAUGGAGAUGUGCUGUACGUGUAAAAUACAUACUGGAUUUUGAAGGUUUCAUAUUAAAAAAAGAUGCAAA
Balaenoptera ricei (Rice's whale) is the source of this 1834-nucleotide long non-coding RNA. RefSeq lists it as uncharacterized. NCBI's taxonomy places the organism in Eukaryota, Metazoa, Chordata, Mammalia, Artiodactyla, Balaenopteridae. The record is from RefSeq and is a predicted model, not a curated record. The transcript is spliced from 4 exons.